Long non-coding RNA from Hibiscus syriacus, 664 nucleotides. RefSeq lists it as uncharacterized. NCBI's taxonomy places the organism in Eukaryota, Viridiplantae, Streptophyta, Magnoliopsida, Malvales, Malvaceae. The record is from RefSeq and is a predicted model, not a curated record. The transcript is spliced from 5 exons.
UUCUCUCCCAAAAGUGUCUCUGGCUGAAUCUUUCCUUCUUCAUUGGUUCCAAUUGCAAGCUGAUUUUUUUUAUUUCUUCUUGAUUUUCAUCCUAAAUUCAUCCUUGAUUCAAUUCCAUUCAAUUGCCAUCCAAUUGCCAUCCAUUCCUUAGGUGUUGAUUUUGAGUGUUAUUGGCUAUCUUGAUCAAGUGGAAGUAGUGUGAUUGAGUUAGGGGGUUUAGAUCGCGUAAUCAGUAAGGUUCCUAAUUCGUGUGUGAUUGAGGAAAAUGGUGCUUCAAUUGUGGAUAGUCGUUUGAUUAGCAUUUGAGGGUGGAAUCAGUUAGUUACGUUAUCGAGUGACUUGAAAGUGAAAGGCAAAGCACCAGAGCAAAAGGAUAUAAUAGAAAAGGAUCAGUAGUGAGUCAGAGGUUCAGAUUAGUAAAAAUACGUGAGGUAGGAGCCUCUUGAGCAUCUUUUUGGAAACACCACCUACCAAAAAUAUCAGUAAGGCAUCUCUGAUGUUCUUUUAACUUUUACUGACAUGUAUAUUAUACUGUCUGUUUGCUUUAUCGAAUUUAUUUAGAAUGGUCUAUAAUAGUAAAUUCUAGUUUGGUUAGUGUUAGUUAUAUUCGAAUCUAUGGAUGAAUAAUAUAUAUGAUAUUAUAUUUAAAAUGGUUUUUAAAAUU